This 261-nucleotide ribosomal RNA is filed under the name uncultured bacterium. RNAcentral describes it as "partial 16S ribosomal RNA". It matches the Rfam family "Bacterial small subunit ribosomal RNA", at positions 524 to 784 of the family's 1533-position model. The record is from RNAcentral.
UACGUAGGGGGCGAGCGUUGUCCGGAGUUACUGGGCGUAAAGCGCACGCAGGCGGUCUGCUAAGUUUGGAGUGACAGUUGGUGGCUUAACUGCCAAAGUGCUUCGAAAACUGACAGACUUGAGGGCUUCAGAGGGACACGGAAUUCCGGGUGGAGUGGUGAAAUGCGUAGAGAUCCGGAGGAACACCAAAGGCGAAGGCAGUGUCCUGGGGAGUACCUGACGCUCAGGUGCGAAAGCCAGGGGAGCGAACGGGAUUAGAGU